This 245-nucleotide ribosomal RNA is filed under the name uncultured bacterium. RNAcentral's name for it is "partial 16S ribosomal RNA". It matches the Rfam family "Bacterial small subunit ribosomal RNA", at positions 109 to 354 of the family's 1533-position model. The record is from RNAcentral.
AGUAACGCGUGAGGAACCUGCCUUUCAGAGGGGGACAACAGUUGGAAACGACUGCUAAUACCGCAUAACGCAUGGGUAUCGCAUGGUAUCUGUGCCAAAGAUUUAUCGCUGAGAGAUGGCCUCGCGUCUGAUUAGCUAGUUGGUGAGGUAACGGCCCACCAAGGCGACGAUCAGUAGCCGGCCUGAGAGGGUGGACGGCCACAUUGGGACUGAGACACGGCCCAAACUCCUACGGGAGGCAGCAG